GAUCCUGGCUCAGGAUGAACGCUAGCUACAGGCUUAACACAUGCAAGUCGAGGGGCAGCAUGGUCUUAGCUUUGCUAAGACCGAUGGCGACCGGCGCACGGGUGAGUAACGCGUAUCCAACCUGCCUUACACUCUUGGACAGCCUUCUGAAAGGGAGAUUAAUACAAGAUGUUAUCAUGAGUAAGCAUUUUCGCAUGNUUAAAGGUUUACCGGUGUAAGAUGGGGAUGCGUU
RNAcentral lists this ribosomal RNA (232 nucleotides) under uncultured bacterium. RNAcentral's name for it is "partial 16S ribosomal RNA". It matches the Rfam family "Bacterial small subunit ribosomal RNA", at positions 15 to 237 of the family's 1533-position model. The record is from RNAcentral.